RNAcentral lists this non-coding RNA (36 nucleotides) under unclassified sequences. RNAcentral's name for it is "DUF805b RNA". It matches the Rfam family "DUF805b RNA". Rfam says of the family: Bacteroidetes, Chlorobi (1 example), Proteobacteria. The record is from RNAcentral.
AAGGCGGGAAUCGAAAAGCCUGUAAAAGAGUAGGAA